AUCCAGACCCGUAGAAGUAUGAGAGGCUAAAGAAGCAAGUUUAUAUCUUAGAAUUUCCGAAUUAAUUUGUGCAGCUGAUCCCACGACACUACCAUAUGUACCUAACCCAGUAGCUAAAAUAUCUCGUCUAGGGCGAUGGUGUGAUCGAAGUGAUACAUUAUACAACAUGCUUUCAUAAAACCACCACUGAAAAGCUCUUUCCUGUACUGAUAGGAAUGGCGUCCAAUUGGAAUAUUGUGUGGAAACCAACCAUUUAUUUAAUUGUAAGUGCCAGGUAACCAAACGAUAUGAAACAUCAUAUGCUACAUGUGUAGCAGAGUCCAAACGAACUUGAAUAGGGUCACCUUCC
Non-coding RNA from Pelobates cultripes (western spadefoot toad), 349 nucleotides. NCBI's taxonomy places the organism in Eukaryota, Metazoa, Chordata, Amphibia, Anura, Pelobatidae. The record is from the annotation of a GenBank genome assembly.